This 302-nucleotide ribosomal RNA is filed under the name Pseudomonas aeruginosa. RNAcentral describes it as "partial 23S ribosomal RNA". It matches the Rfam family "Bacterial large subunit ribosomal RNA", at positions 457 to 763 of the family's 2925-position model. Lineage: Bacteria; Pseudomonadati; Pseudomonadota; Gammaproteobacteria; Pseudomonadales; Pseudomonadaceae. The record is from RNAcentral.
CCUCCAAGGCUAAAUACUCCUGACUGACCGAUAGUGAACCAGUACCGUGAGGGAAAGGCGAAAAGAACCCCGGCGAGGGGAGUGAAAAAGAACCUGAAACCGUGUACGUACAAGCAGUGGGAGCACCUUCGGGUGUGACUGCGUACCUUUUGUAUAAUGGGUCAGCGACUUAUAUUCUGUAGCAAGGUUAACCGUAUAGGGGAGCCGCAGGGAAACCGAGUCUUAACUGGGCGUUAAGUUGCAGGGUAUAGACCCGAAACCCGGUGAUCUAGCCAUGGGCAGGUUGAAGGUUGGGUAACACU